RNAcentral lists this small nuclear RNA (153 nucleotides) under Anas platyrhynchos (mallard). RNAcentral describes it as "7SK RNA". It matches the Rfam family "7SK RNA", at positions 200 to 331 of the family's 331-position model. From Rfam's summary of the family: 7SK was discovered as an abundant small nuclear RNA in the mid-70s but a possible function has only recently been suggested. Two independent studies have found that 7SK RNA binds the CDK9/cyclin T complex (known as elongation factor P-TEFb). The record is from Rfam by way of RNAcentral. Lineage: Eukaryota; Metazoa; Chordata; Aves; Anseriformes; Anatidae.
AGGUGAGGUUUUAUGCAUCUCCUUUACAAUAUUCAAAUGUGUUUGUUUUAGUCAUAUGGAGAUGUUUUUUGUAGGAGAACGUAGGGUAGUCAAGCUUCCAAGACUGCAGACACAUCCAAGUGAGGCGCUGCACGGGGCAGUCUGCCAUUGUUU